UACAGAGGGUGCAAGCGUUAAUCGGAAUUACUGGGCGUAAAGCGUGCGUAGACGGUUAUGUAAGUCGGGUGUGAAAGCCCCGGGCUCAACCUGGGAAUUGCAUUCGAGACUGUGUAGCUAGGGUACGGAAGAGGGAAGCGGAAUUUCAGGUGUAGCGGUGAAAUGCGUAGAUAUCUGAAGGAACACCAGUGGCGAAAGCGGCUUCCUGGACCAAUUCUGACGCUGAGGAGCGAAAGCCAGGGGAGCAAACGGG
This 253-nucleotide ribosomal RNA is filed under the name uncultured bacterium. RNAcentral describes it as "partial 16S ribosomal RNA". It matches the Rfam family "Bacterial small subunit ribosomal RNA", at positions 524 to 776 of the family's 1533-position model. The record is from RNAcentral.